UGAUGGUUGUAUCAUAAAGCGAGUGAGAAAGCUCAAAGUGUUACUUUCAUGAAGCAGCUCAUUUCCUUUGGUGGAGUUGUCUUCACUGUGCUGUAUGAUUGUCAUUGUUCUACCUUCCUCUUGCCUGGAACAAAUUUAGGCACCCCUUGGCCAGGCCUUCUGUACCUGAUCUAAUUUAAUCUGCAGGCAAUCUUGUGGGAAGGGGGAAACACUGGUUAUUUUUUAUUAGUAUUCCCAUUGUGGACUUAGGCAGCUAGGGCUGUGUGUUUGCAAGGUGUCCCAGUGACAUGGCUGAAUAAGGCAGAAUCAGGACCCACACCAUUUUUGUGACUUCUCUGCAUGGCAUCACUAAGUAUGCAGUUUUAUUAUGAAUUUGGGGAGGGGAGGGGUGGAUUGGAGAGGCAAGAGGAAGGCAAAAGUUGGCCUCAAGGAGAAAAAGAAAGGUAAAGGUUGAGGAGAUGGAAUGGAUUUGUGAUUAAGAAUGUGGACUCUGGAGCCAGACUGUCUUGGUUUAAAUUCUUGCCCUACUGCUUGCUAGAUGUGUGACUUUGGGUAAGUUAUUAACUGAUUUGUUCUUCAGAUUUUGAAAAUUAAGUGGGAAUACUUUUAGAAAAGGUACAUUCAAGGCAAGAAGGUUAAAAUUGUCAGUAGAGGGUAAUCUGCAUGCAAAUCUUUGACCUGCUAAAUAUCCCUUCCGUAUCAUUCUCAGUAUGGCCAUGAGACAUCCAAAGUUAGGACUCUGCAUUUUCAAAAGGCAUGUUUUCAUCACAUCUUUGUCUUUUCUAGAAUGUGCUGCUGCUGCUUUUUACAAAGUGAACAUGUUUCCAUAAAGAAGUGGAUUUUUUUUUUUUUAGGGGCAAGGUGGGAGAAGGCUGGGUAUAUGGGAAACAUUCUUAUGCUGGAAAUAAUGAAGAUCGAAAGGUGUGUUGUCAGUUCAUUCAUACCAGGCUCAAAUUCAUGAAAAAAAAAAUGCAGCUGAUAAGACAAUUGAGAUCAUGUAUGAAGAAUGAAAGAAAAAGUGUCCUGCAGCAUGCUUGUUAAAUAACACUCUGAAAAAGCACAUGGGAGGACUUAUUUGAUAAGAGUAAAUCUCUGGGUCUUUGUAAAACUGGGUUUAAGUUUCUUACUCAAUACCCCUAACUAUGCUAUGGGUCUGAAAACUGGGCAUUGUUUCCUAAGAUGCGGUUUCAGGGCAGCUUCCAACUUCAGCUUUUGCCUCUGUUCCAGACGUUUGUAAAUGUUCAGUUUGGUAGGGAGGAAAAAAAACCUCACUAAUAUGGGAACCACAUUCACUUUGUAAUUUUAUAUUUAUUAACAAAAUCUUUUGCACCAGGAUAUGUUAGUCAAGCCAAAGGAUGAAUCACAUUGAUUACCGCUUUUGGGCUAUUAGCUUUGGACAGUUUCUUGUACUUCCAUCUGUGGCAGCUUGAAGUAGUUGUAUGUGUAAGGUUCCCCCUCUAGUGGCCAGAUUGGUUUGGGUUUUUGCUGUUUUUGUGCAAAUGAUCUUGAGUUGGAGAACCUUUCAGUAGGGGUACUGUGGAUUUGGGAAGGCUAGAGAGAGGGAACUAAAAAGAGGAUGCAAACCUUUAUUCCCUAGGAGAAAAUUGUUCUGAAGUAUUUGUCCAGACCAAUCUCUAGCUUUUAAAAGAACUGCUGGAGAUGGAGACUGUGACCCACGGAAGGGAGAAGGGUUCUGGAAUGAUCUCUCAUCUUUUUACUCUGAUUAUUUUCUGAAUUUCUGCUGCCUUUAUUUAUUAUUAUCUUUUUAAUAACAUUAGAAAAAUAUUUUUUUAAUUAUAAGAGCAAUAAAAUGCAUAGGGUAAAACUAGAAACUAAAAAAUAUGGAAAAUGUUUAGAAGCCUUUUAUUCUGUGAGUUCUUGUCCUUUCCCAAAUCUGUGCCAGCAGGUAACUACUAUCAACAAUAAGUGUAUCUUUCCAGUCUUUUUUCUAUGCAUUUACAAACAUACACAUGUGUCUAUUGGUUUAUAUUGAAUAAAAAUGAUUUAUCAACAUAUAUGUACAGUAUACAUACACAGUAUAUUCAUAUAUACACAUAUGUACAGUAUACAUAUACAGUAUAUUCGACAUAUUUGGUUUUUAUGAAGCAAAAUGGAAGCAUACUACAAAUACUAUCCAUUUAAUAUAUUUUGUACAGCCCAUAAAAGUAUUGUAUAGGUCUAGCUCUUUUUAAAAUAGCUGAAUUAGGAGUUCUUCUGUGGUGCAGCAUGUUGGUGAUCCAGCAUUGACACUGCAGUGGCUCAGUUCUGUGCUGUUGUGCUAGUUUGAUCCCUGGCCCAGGUAUCUCCACAUGCCAUGGGUGUGGCCAAAACAAACAAACAAAACCAAAUAAAAAUUAAUAGACUAUGCACUCAAAAAUAAAUGUUAAAAAUAGCUGAAUUAAAUUCACUUAUUUAAGCAUUCCCUUAUUGAUGAAUAUUUGAGUUAUUUUUAGUUUUUAUUGUUAAAAAUGUUCCAAUAAAAUUAUUUAUAUCUACUUAUAUCUCUGCCAGUUUGUGCAUAUAUUUUCUGUAGCAUAAAUUCCUGGGAAUCUAACUUCUGUAUUAGAGCUUAGGGUUAUUUUAAAUUGUGAUGGAUAUUGACAGCCCUCCAAAAAGGCUGUGCCAACCUACAUUCCCACACACAGUGAAUCUGCAGCUUUUCAGUGUUUUUUUUAUAAACCUAAAAUGAAUCUGAGAACAACCAAGGUAGCUCAGGGUAGGAAAAUUCUUCUGUAGGAUUCAGUGAGAGUUGUCAGGGUAGAUGAGUGAAAUCAUACUGAGCUCUUCAUCUGGCUUUGGCACCACAGCAUUCCCCUCUCUCUGUGGCUGAAAUACAUCCCUGGGGUAUGCCAAGCGGUCUAAUUUUGAUUGCAAAUGACUUCAGUCUGCAAAAGUGAUUCACUGCUAAUGAAAUCAGCCUUGAGGAGUACAUUUCCACUCCCUACUCCUGCCCACAACCCACAGUGACCUCUUCAUUGCCUGUAAUUGCCGUGUUUUUUCUCUCCUUGUGGUUUGGUGAUCUGGAGCCCAUCUCUGAGUUUAUGAUUCUGACCUUUCCUAUGUAUGGCUUGGCUGGGGAUGCUUCAGACCUCAUGGGCCCCUGAAAGUUAAAAAACUGUAGUCUGAGGGUCAGAAACCCUGCAUGCUAUCUAUCCUCAUCAGUUUCCUCUUCCCCAUCUCUCUACUCCAUCUGAUGUCCUCAGAACUAUCCCUGGGCCACUCCUGGCUUGUUGUGUUAGGAGUCACAAGUACACUUUCCUGAGCCUCCCCCCAGAGGACUGGAUGUAUAGGGCUGAAAGGAGGCCAGAAUUAUAUACUUCUCAAAACCCCCUUUCUCCUCCCCUGAGCUCUGGGGCCUCUUACCCCUUGGGAGCUUUAGUUGCAUUAGCUGUAAAAUGAGGGCUUGAAUUCUAGUGAACUCUCCCGUAGGGGAAAGGAGGAGGGAGGGUGGUCAGGGAAAUUCUGGCUGAGACUUGAGAUGAGGAGUAUUGCUCGGAGAGUCAUAGUCUGUCCAUCUUGGUGGAAACAUUGGCUGAUGCCACUUGUGCUUUAGGCUCUAUCUCUGGGCUCCCUUCUGGAAUGAAAUAAAACCAGUGGGGAGGGCCAGACUGAAAAAUUGUAUGUGUCUCCCUUGGCACAGACCUGUGUUAGACCUCACGAUCUUUGAGGACACUUCAUUCUAGGAUGCUGUGACUGGGAUCUCUGGUAAACUCAAAGGUGAAGCCAGUACCACAAAACUCAGCAGUAGCUUUUGCCUUGUAGUAUCUUUAAAAACAACAACAGCAGAAGACUUUCCAUAGUACUGAUGCACCGAAACAAGAGCUGGUAUGUAGUAAGUGUUGUAUAAAUGUUUAUAUAAAAAAAGACCUAAAUGACCUGAGUUUUUAACCCUGGAAUUGAGCACCUCAAGUCAGCCUGCUAGCAGCUUCUCGAUGGUGUGUGGCUUUUUGGUUACCCUUGGCAUGUGCUAUCAUUGUUGGGACCUGUGGAUUUUAUGGUAUAAUCUUGGAGCUUUGGAACUUUUAUGUCCUAUAAAUGUCUGUAAGACUCUUAUAAUCAAGUUGGCUUUGGGAUAAGGGAUAAAUUAUUACUUAUUGGUUUGUGUGUCCUCAGAGUGGCACUAUUUAUAAACGAAUAAGCGGAAACCUGCAAUUGGAGAAUUCCAACCAAGUUUCUUCCUACCUAAAAAGUAUAAAUGGCAUUGGUUAUCAUCCUAGAUGUUUUCUAGCAGUGUUGGGGAGGUGGACAAAUUGCUUAACGAGCCACAUGAGUAUAGGUGUAUUGGUUAAAAGACAGCAAAAGCAAGAGCUAGAGGGUGAGAGAGAGAGAGAGAGAAGGAGGAGGGAGGGAGUCUUUUUAAAGGAAGAAAACAAAACAAAACAUGUGAAUCCAUCUGAUCUCUGUCCAGUAACAAGAGCCCAACGCCUUAGUUAACAGUUUAGUGCCUUGCAUGUUUUGCCUUAAACCAGUUCAAAUGAUAGGUGCUAAAAAGUCUCCUUUGAUUAUAGCCUUGUGAAUAUUCUAAAUUUUAAAAAAACUUAUUUUUACCAUAAUUAAAAAAGAAAAAUUAUAUAUUCAUUCAUAGCAGAGAGAGGAAGAAACUCCUAAAUCUUUUUUUUUUUCUUUUUGCCAUUUCUUGGGCCGCUCCCGUGGCACAUGGAGGGAGGUUCCCAGGCUAGGGGUGGAGUUGGAGCUGUAGCCACCAGCCUAUGCCAGAGCCACAGCAACUCAGGAUCCGAGCCGCGUCUGCAACCUACAGCACAGCUAACGGCAAUGCCAGAUCCUUAACCCACUGAGCAAGGCCAGGGAUAGCACCUGCAACCUCAUUGUUCCUAGUUGGAUUCAUUAAUCACUGUGCCACAACGGGAACUCCAGAAACUCCUAAAUCUUAAAAGGCAAGGUGAUGGUUAGAAGAUGAGUAAGUUCAUUGUGAUUAUAGUCAACAGUGUUGUAUUAUAUCCUUCAAACUUGCUAAGAGACUAGAUCUUAAAUGUUCUCACCAUAAAAAAGAAUUGGUAAUUAUGUGACAGGAUGGAGGUGUCAGCUAGCACCAUGGUGGUUAUCAUAUUGCUAAAUAUAAAUGUAUUGAAUCUCCCCAGUUGUGCACCUUAAACUUAGACAAUGUUAUAUGUCAAUUACAUCUCAAG
RNAcentral lists this long non-coding RNA (5147 nucleotides) under Sus scrofa (pig). Its description in RNAcentral is "lncRNA (ENSSSCG00000059724.1)". Lineage: Eukaryota; Metazoa; Chordata; Mammalia; Artiodactyla; Suidae. The record is from RNAcentral.